Molecule: non-coding RNA, 403 nt
Organism: Oryctolagus cuniculus (rabbit)
Lineage: Eukaryota; Metazoa; Chordata; Mammalia; Lagomorpha; Leporidae
Source: RefSeq, a predicted model, not a curated record
GUGUGUGUUCAGGUUUGAGUUGUACCAGGUGCAGGCCUCAUGUCCCCACUGUGUGUGUUCAGGUUUGAGUUGUACCAGGUGCUGCUUCAUGUCCCCACUGUGUGUGUUCAGGUUUGAGUUGUACCAGGUGCUGGCCUCAUGUCCCUACUGUGUGUGUUCAGGUUUGAGUUGUACCAGGUGCUGGCCUCAUGUCCCCACUGUGUGUGUUCAGGUUUCAGUUGUACCAGGUGCUGGCCUCAUGUCCCCACUGUGUGUGUUCAGGUUUGAGUUGUACCAGGUGCUGGCCUCAUGUCCCCACUGUGUGUGUUCAGGUUUGAGUUGUACCAGGUGCUGGCCUCAUGUCCCCACUGUGUGUGUUCAGGUUUCAGUUGUACCAGGUGCUGCUUCAUGUCCCUACUGUGUG